UGGGGAAUAUUGGACAAUGGGCGAAAGCCUGAUCCAGCCAUGCCGCGUGUGUGAAGAAGGCCUUCGGGUUGUAAAGCACUUUUGUUGGGAAAGAAAUCCUGUCGGCCAAUACCCGGCGGGGAUGACGGUACCCAAAGAAUAAGCACCGGCUAACUUCGUGCCAGCAGCCGCGGUAAUACGAGGGGUGCAAGCGUUACUCGGAAUUACUGGGCGUAAAGCGUGCGUAAGCGGUUCGUUAAGUCUGUCGUGAAAGCCCUGGGCUCAACCUGGGAAUUGCGAUGGAUACUGGCGAGCUAGAGUACGGUAGAGGAUGGUGGAAUUCCCGGUGUAGCGGUGAAAUGCGUAGAGAUCGGGAGGAACACCCGUGGCGAAGGCGGCCAUCUGGACCAGUACUGACGCUGAGGCACGAAAGCGUGGGGAGCAAACA
RNAcentral lists this ribosomal RNA (427 nucleotides) under uncultured bacterium. RNAcentral's name for it is "bacterial SSU rRNA". It matches the Rfam family "Bacterial small subunit ribosomal RNA", at positions 355 to 774 of the family's 1533-position model. The record is from RNAcentral.